Molecule: ribosomal RNA, 253 nt
Filed under: uncultured bacterium
Lineage: Bacteria
Description: partial 16S ribosomal RNA
Rfam family: Bacterial small subunit ribosomal RNA
Source: RNAcentral
GACAGAGGGUGCAAGCGUUGUUCGGAAUUAUUGGGCGUAAAGGGCGCGUAGGUGGCCAUGUAAGUCAGAUGUGAAAGCCCUGGGCUCAACCCAGGAAGUGCAUCUGAUACUGCGUGGCUUGAGUUCCGGAGAGGAUGGUGGAAUUCCCAGUGUAGAGGUGAAAUUCGUAGAUAUUGGGAGGAACACCGGUGGCGAAGGCGACCAUCUGGACGAGAACUGACACUGAGGCGCGAAAGCGUGGGGAGCAAACAGG